Molecule: ribosomal RNA, 253 nt
Filed under: uncultured bacterium
Lineage: Bacteria
Description: partial 16S ribosomal RNA
Rfam family: Bacterial small subunit ribosomal RNA
Source: RNAcentral
UACGGGGGGGGCAAGCGUUGUUCGGAAUUACUGGGCGUAAAGGGCUCGUAGGCGGCCAACUAAGUCGGAUGUGAAAUCCCCAGGCUCAACCUGGGAACUGCAUCCGAUACUGGAUGGCUUGAAUUCGGGAGAGGGAUGCAGAAUUCCAGGUGUAGCGGUGAAAUGCGUAGAUAUCGAGAGGAACACCUGCGGCGAAGGCGGGUUGCUGGGCCGACACUGACGCUGAUGCGCGAAAGCCAGGGGAGCGAACGGG